GAUGAACGCUCGCUACAGGCUUAACACAUGCAAGUCGAGGGGAAACGAUGAGAGAGCUUGCUCUCUUAGGCGUCGACCGGCGCACGGGUGAGUAACGCGUAUCCAACCUACCCAUUACAGGGGGAUAACCUUGCGAAAGUAAGACUAAUACCCCAUGGCAUUUUAUGGUGGCAUCAUUAUAGGAUUAAAGAUUUAUUGGUAAUGGAUGGGGAUGCGUCUGAUUAGCUUGUUGGCGGGGUAACGGCCCACCAAGGCAACGAUCAGUAGGGGUUCUGAGAGGAAGGUCCCCCACAUUGGAACUGAGACACGGUCCAAACUCCUACGGGAGGCAGCAGUGAGGAAUAUUGGUCAAUGGGCGAGAGCUUGAACCAGCCAAGUAGCGUGCAGGAUGACGGCCCUAUGGGUUGUAAACUGCUUUUAGAGGGGAAUAAAGUGAGCUACGUGUAGUUUAUUGCAUGUACCCUAUGAAUAAGAACCGGCUAAUUCCGUG
RNAcentral lists this ribosomal RNA (490 nucleotides) under uncultured bacterium. Its description in RNAcentral is "partial 16S ribosomal RNA". It matches the Rfam family "Bacterial small subunit ribosomal RNA", at positions 28 to 507 of the family's 1533-position model. The record is from RNAcentral.